ACCUAAUGAUGUGGGCAUUUAUGGAGAAGGUCCCUGAAAUGUUCCUAGGUCUCAAAGAAAGUUCCCCAUCCGUUUGUGUGAAACUUGUGAUUACCCUUCACAGUU
This is a small nucleolar RNA of Malania oleifera, 105 nucleotides long. NCBI's taxonomy places the organism in Eukaryota, Viridiplantae, Streptophyta, Magnoliopsida, Santalales, Ximeniaceae. The record is from RefSeq and is a predicted model, not a curated record.